Phrynosoma platyrhinos (Desert horned lizard) is the source of this 69-nucleotide non-coding RNA. The record is from the annotation of a GenBank genome assembly. Lineage: Eukaryota; Metazoa; Chordata; Lepidosauria; Squamata; Phrynosomatidae.
GUCAGUGUAGCACAGUGGUUUGAAUGUUGGACUACAACUCUAAAGAUCUAGGUUUGAGUCCCACUGGGG